CGGCGUGCUUACACAUGCAAGUCGAACGAGAAAGCCGAAAGCUUGCUUUUGGCGAGUAGAGUGGCGCACGGGUGAGUAACGCGUGGGUAAUCUGCCUUCGAACCGGGGAGUAACACUUCGAAAGGGGUGCUAAUACCGGAUGACAUCCAGGUGUCUUCGGGCGCUUGGAUCAAAGAUGGCCUCUCCAUGGAAGCUGUUGUCCGAAGAUGAGCCCGCGUCCCAUUAGCUUGUUGGUGGGGUAAAGGCCCACCAAGGCGACGAUGGGUAGCUGGUCUGAGAGGAUGAUCAGCCACACUGGCACUGACACACGGGCCAGACUCCUACGGGAGGCAGCAGUGAGGAAUUUUGCGCAAUGGGGGUAACCCUGACGCAGCAACGCCGCGUGAGUGAAGAAGGCCUUCGGGUCGUAAAGCUCUGUCGAGUGGGAAGAACCCGCAUCAGGUGACAAGGCUGAUGCGCUGACGGUACCACUGGAGGAAGCACCGGCUAACUCCGUGCCAGCAGCCGCGGUAAUACGGAGGGUGCAAGCGUUAUUCGGAAUUACUGGGCGUAAAGGGCGCGCAGGCGGCCUGGUAAGUCAGUAGUGAAAGCCCGGGGCUCGACCCCGGAAGUGCUGCUGAAACUGUUGGGCUUGAGUAUGGUAGAGGGAAGCGGAAUUCCUGGUGUAGCGGUGAAAUGCGUAGAUAUCAGGAGGAACACCGGUGGCGAAGGCGGCUUCCUGGACCAAUACCGACGCUGAGGCGCGAAGGCGUGGGUAGCAAACAGGAUUAGAUACCCUGGUAGUCCACGCAGUAAACGGUGAUCACUAGGUGUUGCGGGUAUUGAUACUUGCAGUGCCGGAGCUAACGCAUUACGUGAUCCGCCUGGGGAGUACGUCCGCAACGGUUAUACGCAAAGGAAUUGACGGGGGCCCGCACAAGCGGGUGGAGCAUGUGGUUUACUUCGACGCAACGCGAAGAACCUUACCUGGCUUUGACAUCUGGCGGAUCACAUGGAUACAUGGGCGUGCCAUUCGGGAGCACCCAAGACAGGUGCUGCAUGNCUGUCGUCAGCUCGUGUCGUGAGAUGUUGGGUUA
RNAcentral lists this ribosomal RNA (1076 nucleotides) under uncultured organism. Its description in RNAcentral is "bacterial SSU rRNA". It matches the Rfam family "Bacterial small subunit ribosomal RNA", at positions 40 to 1082 of the family's 1533-position model. The record is from RNAcentral.